AUGGAUAAAUUUGACUACAUUUCUAUGGUUUUCGUGAAGCAUUCUCAUUUCUCCAUGGAUAAAUUUGACUACAUUUCUUUGGUUUUCGUGCAUGGUUCGAUGACUGGUCUGACUAGUCUAGACUACAUUGACCUGCUCCUGCUGCACACCAGCAUGGUAGGACGUAAAAUCUGCAUGUGCAGGCGCUUGUCUUGGCACCGCAUUCAUCAGUUCGUUCCAUGGCUUUCAGAACCAUAUGGUUGGCGGGUGCAUGAUCAUGGCUUCACGACUGUUCAGCAUGUAGGAUGUGCUCGCCACCAGAGACUUCGCUCAAACCAGCAGGAGCGGUGA
This 330-nucleotide ribosomal RNA is filed under the name Triticum aestivum (bread wheat). RNAcentral describes it as "partial small subunit ribosomal RNA". The record is from RNAcentral. Lineage: Eukaryota; Viridiplantae; Streptophyta; Magnoliopsida; Poales; Poaceae.